UACGAGAGGACCGGGUCGAACUGCCCGCUCGUGUGCCGGCUGUGGUGCCAACUGCAUCGCCGGGUAGCGAGGGCAGGCGAAGAUAACCGCUGAAUGCAUCUAAGUGGGAAGCUUCCCCCAAGAUGAAUCCUCCCUGGAGCCUUGAGCUCCCUGAAGGGCCGGGAGAGACCAUCCCGUCAAGAGGUCGCACGUGGACAUGGAGCAAUUCAUUCCAAGCGCAGCGAUCCUCAUCGCCCGUGAGGCUUGAUCUU
This 251-nucleotide ribosomal RNA is filed under the name Gemmatimonadaceae bacterium. RNAcentral's name for it is "partial 23S ribosomal RNA". It matches the Rfam family "Bacterial large subunit ribosomal RNA", at positions 2682 to 2925 of the family's 2925-position model. The record is from RNAcentral. Lineage: Bacteria; Pseudomonadati; Gemmatimonadota; Gemmatimonadia; Gemmatimonadales; Gemmatimonadaceae.